UACGUAGGUGGCUAGCGUUGUCCGGAUUUACUGGGCGUAAAGAGCGCGCAGGCGGUCGUUCAAGUCGAGUGUGAAAGCCCCCGGCUCAACUGGGGAGGGUCACUCGAUACUGAUCGACUUGAAGGCGGGAGAGGGAAGCGGAAUUCCCGGUGUAGUGGUGAAAUGCGUAGAUAUCGGGAGGAACACCAGUGGCGAAGGCGACUACCUGGCCUGUUCUUGACGCUGAGGCGCGAAAGCUAGGGGAGCGAACAGG
RNAcentral lists this ribosomal RNA (253 nucleotides) under uncultured bacterium. RNAcentral describes it as "partial 16S ribosomal RNA". It matches the Rfam family "Bacterial small subunit ribosomal RNA", at positions 524 to 776 of the family's 1533-position model. The record is from RNAcentral.